CUACGGGAGGCUGCAGUGGGGAAUUUUGCGCAAUGGGGGAAACCCUGACGCAGCAAUACCGCGUGAGUGAAGAAGGCCUUUGGGUCGUAAAGCUCUUUUCUUGGGGAAGAUAGUGACGGUACCCAAGGAAUAAGCACCGGCUAACUCCGUGCCAGCAGCCGCGGUAAUACGGAGGGUGCAAGCGUUGUUCGGAUUUACUGGGCGUAAAGGGAACGUAGGCGGCACAGCAAGUUAAGGGUGAAAUCCCGGGGCUCAACUCCGGAACUGCUCUUAAAACUGCUGAGCUAGAGAUAGUCAGAGGCGGGUGGAAUUCCAGGUGUAGAGGUGAAAUUCGUAGAUAUCUGGAGGAACACCGGUGGCGAAGGCGGCCCGCUGGGGCUAUUCUGACGCUAAGGUGCGAAAGCGUGGGGAGCAAACGGGAUUAGAUACCCCUGUAGUC
RNAcentral lists this ribosomal RNA (439 nucleotides) under uncultured bacterium. RNAcentral describes it as "partial 16S ribosomal RNA". It matches the Rfam family "Bacterial small subunit ribosomal RNA", at positions 339 to 795 of the family's 1533-position model. The record is from RNAcentral.